Molecule: RNA transcript, 5057 nt
Organism: Mastomys coucha (southern multimammate mouse)
Lineage: Eukaryota; Metazoa; Chordata; Mammalia; Rodentia; Muridae
Gene: Pou4f1
Gene name: POU class 4 homeobox 1
Exons: 3
Source: RefSeq, a predicted model, not a curated record
GCGAGCGGAGGAGCGGACCAGCGAGCGGGCGGCCGCAGCCUCGGGACGGAGGCCGGCCGAGCCGGCGUGCGCACUUUGCGGCGGACUUUGCGAGUGUUUUGUGGAUUUGUACCCGCCGAGCCGCCAAGAUGAUGUCCAUGAACAGCAAGCAGCCUCACUUUGCCAUGCAUCCCACCCUCCCCGAGCACAAGUACCCGUCGCUACACUCCAGCUCCGAGGCCAUCCGGCGGGCCUGCCUGCCCACGCCGCCGCUGCAGAGCAACCUCUUCGCCAGCCUGGACGAGACGCUGCUGGCGCGGGCCGAGGCGCUGGCGGCCGUGGACAUCGCGGUGUCCCAGGGCAAGAGCCACCCUUUCAAGCCGGACGCCACGUACCACACGAUGAACAGCGUGCCCUGCACGUCCACGUCCACCGUGCCGCUGGCGCACCACCACCACCACCACCAUCACCACCAGGCGCUCGAGCCCGGUGACCUGCUGGACCACAUCUCGUCGCCGUCGCUCGCGCUCAUGGCCGGCGCGGGGGGCGCGGGCGCGGCGGGCGGCGCCGGCGGCGCCCACGACGGCCCCGGGGGCGGAGGCGGCCCGGGGGGCGGCGGCGGCCCGGGCGGCGGCGGCCCCGGGGGCGGCGGCGGCGGUGGCCCGGGCGGUGGCGGCGGUGGCGGCGGCCCGGGCGGCGGGCUCUUGGGCGGCUCAGCGCAUCCGCACCCGCACAUGCACGGCCUGGGCCACCUGUCGCACCCCGCGGCCGCGGCCGCCAUGAACAUGCCGUCCGGGUUGCCGCAUCCCGGGCUCGUGGCGGCGGCGGCGCACCACGGCGCGGCGGCGGCGGCGGCGGCGGCGGCGGCCGGGCAGGUGGCGGCGGCGUCGGCGGCGGCGGCGGUGGUGGGCGCGGCGGGCCUGGCGUCCAUCUGCGACUCGGACACGGACCCGCGCGAGCUCGAGGCGUUCGCCGAGCGCUUCAAGCAGCGGCGCAUCAAGCUGGGCGUGACGCAGGCCGACGUGGGCUCGGCGCUGGCCAACCUCAAGAUCCCGGGCGUGGGCUCGCUCAGCCAGAGCACCAUCUGCAGGUUCGAGUCGCUCACGCUCUCGCACAACAACAUGAUCGCGCUCAAGCCCAUCCUGCAGGCGUGGCUGGAGGAGGCCGAGGGCGCGCAGCGUGAGAAAAUGAACAAGCCCGAGCUCUUCAACGGCGGCGAGAAGAAGCGCAAGCGGACUUCCAUCGCCGCGCCCGAGAAGCGCUCCCUCGAGGCCUAUUUUGCCGUACAACCCCGGCCCUCAUCUGAGAAGAUCGCCGCCAUCGCCGAGAAACUGGACCUCAAAAAGAACGUGGUGCGGGUGUGGUUUUGCAACCAGAGACAGAAGCAGAAGCGGAUGAAAUUCUCUGCCACUUACUGAGGAGGGUGUGAGACGCCGGGUGGGGCACGCUGGGGAGCUGAGGGGUGCGUUUCUGGGGCUCCCUCUGGCCUACUUCCCCUCAUUUAGAGUGUCUGUUAUCCUGCCUGCAUCUGGGGAGUUCCUUUUCUUGCCCUUCCCUCAGCCCCACUCCGCACCUGACCCUAACAGUCCCCCAGCCUAGUGUACAGGGGUGUGGGUGUGGAAAAGUUUGGGAUGGCAGGAGAGAAUGGGGGGCAGUUAGGUGAGCAGGGCGUGGGUGGGGGAAGAAAAGCAAAGACUGGAGCUGGGGGUUUGCAAGAAGCAGGAUGGUUCUGGGGACUAGGGUGGGAGGGAAAGAUGGGGGAAGAACUGGGGAUGGACAGUUAUCUUGACCAGAGACAUUUACAAAAAUCAUCUGGGGACCAAGGAACUAUGUAUAAAGAUGGAACUACCAACUAUCACCAAAAACAAAACAUAAAAUCCUAGACAAUAAAGUGUGUGUGUGGGGGGGGGCAAGACAAAGAAAGAUGCUUUAGGAAUUUAACUCCAAGGAGCAGUAUUCAGCAGCUUCGUUUACCCCCAAGGAAGAGAAAACAGCAAUACCAUUACUACCACCACCCCAACUUCCCAAGCACAAGUGAGUCAUCCAGGAAAACCAAACGACCUGGACCUUGAGCUUCUGGGGAGGAAGCUGGUUCCCUGUUUAACUUCACCUUCUAAAAUCUCACACCUGCACCCUCUUUGAUUAAUUUCCUCUUUUCCAAAGAGACUCCAAGGCUUGACUCCAGCUCAGCAGCUGGAGCUUAGCUUACAUGCGCUUGGGGAGACUGCCUGGUCAUUCACACCGAAUCUUCAUUUUCCAGGAGCCAAUGGCCACAGUCUUGUGGCCUGGUCUUGGUCAGGUCCCUGUCUCCCUCCCUUGGAGAACGUGAAGUUGUUGAAAAGCUGAGAAGUUUCUGCUUUCCUUUGGGGGCAGGAGUCCAUGUAAGAAAAACCACCUAAAAUCCCAGAAGAAAGGAAGAGAUUUAAAGAUUUAGAGCCCCUCCCACCGUGGUCGGUUCAGAUAGGUCUGCACUUACCUGGGGAAAGCACAAGAGGCUUCCCCUGUUGUUCUUGUUGUUAUUCGAGGAUCACUUAUUACUGGGGAUAAAUAUUGAGUCACAAAAAACUUCAAUUUGCACUAUGAGUUUCCAAAAUAGAAAAUCCUGUAUGGUAUUUCAUACUAAUAAUCCAAGCUGUUGAUGGAUUUUAAGGAAAAAAAAAUUGAGAAAGACAGUUUGAGAGAGGAAAAAACCUGAGAAAGUGGUUUAGUGAAAUGCCUGCUUUGUUGUGUACAAGAUACUGUUUGGAUCUCAUGUGGAGAUGGUUUGUUACUAUCAUUUAACCAUAACUAAAGACGAAAACGGAAGAGUUGAGGGGGGAAAACACUCUUUAACAAGACUGAAAUCAUGCAUGGUUCGAAAGGUGCAGAAAGAUGAUUAGGUCUCACUCUGGGUAGGCGUUGUUUAUUUAAUUAUGUUGUAUGUCAUUGUUUGCAGCACAAAACAUUCUAUGCAUUUGAAACUGAGCACUAAACUGGGCUAGCUUUCUGGUAGACCGUUUUGUGGAUAGUGUGAUUUCACAGUCUACUGCCUGUUUCCACUGAAAACACGACAUUAUUGUAAAUAUUUUCUUUCAUGCACAGGCUCACACAGUGGUUACAAACUGCCAGUGUUAAUCCUGAAUUGUCUCAUUGACUGAUCCUCCUGUCCAUGUUGUGUCUGCAGAGCUUUCUCCUUGGUUAUGUCUUUGCUCUAUUGCCCCCACCCCAACCCCACCCCACCCCAUCAGAACCAUUCCUGUGCGCCAACAUACAACAGGGAGAUGUGUCCCAGUCCACUUCCAAAUAAAACAUGACUGAAAGAAGAGCAGUUUUAUGAUCUGGGUGCAUUUUUGUGUUUACAUUGAGCCAAGUCCUGGUCAACAAAUGAGACAAGACAACCAAAACAAAACAAAACAAACCCCACAUCAAACAGAAAGCCUCAACCAAACAUUAAAAUCAAGCAAGAAGGGGAGAAAGGGGGUCAGCGGGAGUGAAAGAGUGAGAUUUAUUUAUUUAUUUCUAAAUGAGAAUUCAGUUUCAGAUAAGUCAUGGGAACUGGUGCUCUGAGUAAGAUGAAUUACUUGUCCAUUUUAUCAAAGUUUUAAUUUGAACUCCAGAAGCUCUUGAGCCGUCGUUGCUGCACUCCGUUCAGAGUGGUGAUGGAAAGCUGUAAAUAAUGAGGCUCCUGAAAGGCAUUUAAGUUGAAGGUCAGGGACACAGGCAUCUAGGGGUUUGAAUGUGCUGCUCUACUCUAAAAACACUUCUAAAAAUGUUGUAACUAAACGACUUUUUGUUGGCAGUUAAUAAAUUAUAAAAGUAUCCUUUGAUCUGCCCCAAUAACUUGUCAAAUGCUUCUCUUCAUUUAGAACAUUUUGCAUACCACCUAUUGCUUCAGAUUGACAAGAGAUUUCCUUUUUCUUUUUUCUUUUGGUGACCUGGAACUAGAUCAAAUGCCAAAUGUACAAACUUUCUUAAUAGUUGGGACUAUUCCUCUGAAGUCAUCCUAUUUUAGCUAAGCCUUUUUAACUUCACCGGCAUAUCUGUGAAAGAAAAGUGAUGUUCAGAAAAGAAUAGUACAUUUUAAAAAGGUGUGAUUUUAAAACAGUUGUUAAUAUUUUAAAAAGCACUAGAGGUAUUUUUAAAAAUAGAUCUCUUCCAUCAAAAUUGAUUUGUUUCUGUUAUUGACUUGAAAUAUCAUCAGAGUUUCUAAUAAAAUACAUUUGUAAAAGAACACAUUAUUUUAUAGAAAAGUAUGACCAGAUUUCAUUGUUGGAGAUCCAGGAAUGAACAAAUAAAAAGAUUUACGAAGGUUGUUUUUCUAAUAAUCUGCUCAAACAGAAAUGUUGCAGGCAAAUACAUUUGUAUUAUAUAAUAAUGGAUAAUGUAUGUAUUAAGAAUUUAAGCAUUUGUUUUGUAUUAAGUAAAUCCUUGCCCAGUACAAAAAGAAAGACUAUUACGUUAAUAAAACAUCAUGAAAACACAUCGCUUUGCAGGGUUUCCUAUUUUAUGUAGUAGGAAACUGUGCAAAUUUUUAAAAAAAGUUUUGCUUUCUAGUGAGUGGCUGUGUACAGGGCAGAAAGGAAUGAUAGAGCUCUCCUAAGACUCCUUUAGGUGUCAACCCAUUGAAAAUUUUAAAAUGAAACUCCUGAAGAGAAGGCAAUGGUUUGCUGAUCUGUAGGUGGUUUGGCUUUUCCAAGUUCUCUGGUUCAGAAAGUUGGGGGAAAUAUGCAAAACGGAUUUCCUCCCACAUCUGCUAAUUUGUGGAAAUAAAAUGUGUGAGUCUGAACUCCUCUAAGGAACACAAGUUUCAGAAGGUAGGGGAACUGGGCUCUGAUUCUGUUUUAGACUCUUAAGACACACAAGAGCAGAAUAAAUAAAGGGAAAAAGAAAAAUCUGUGUAGAGUGCAUUCACCUCAGAAAUGCUCCCUCCCUCUUAAAACUGCUUUCUGAAUUCUUCAUGGAGCCUCUGCUUUUUCUGUAGGUCUAAGAAAGGAUGUCCCCAGCAUUCGUCAGCUAGCUUCUGGAUAGAUUUUUGUCUAAUGCGUGUUCUUAAAUUAUUCUCAACUUCAGUUAUCAACUGUUAAAUAAACAGUAGGCAC